RNAcentral lists this ribosomal RNA (253 nucleotides) under uncultured bacterium. RNAcentral describes it as "partial 16S ribosomal RNA". It matches the Rfam family "Bacterial small subunit ribosomal RNA", at positions 524 to 776 of the family's 1533-position model. The record is from RNAcentral.
UACAGAGGGUGCUAGCGUUGUUCGGAAUCAUUGGGCGUAAAGGGCGUGUAGGCGGUUUGUUAAGUCAUGUGUGAAAUCCCUCGGCUCAACCGGGGAACGACGCAUGAAACUGGCAAGCUAGAGUACCAAAGAGGGGGGUGGAAUUCCCGGUGUAGCAGUGAAAUGCGUAGAGAUCGGGAGGAACAUCUGUGGCGAAGGCGACUGCCUGGACCAGCACUGACACUGAGGCACGAAAGCGUGGGGAGCAAACAGG